This 254-nucleotide ribosomal RNA is filed under the name uncultured microorganism. Its description in RNAcentral is "partial 16S ribosomal RNA". It matches the Rfam family "Archaeal small subunit ribosomal RNA", at positions 474 to 727 of the family's 1478-position model. The record is from RNAcentral.
CACCGGCGGCUCGAGUGGUGGCCCCUUUUAUUGGGGCUAAAGCGUCCGUAGCCGGCUUGGCAAGUCCCCUGGGAAAUCUGGCGGCUUAACCGUCAGGCGUCCAGAGGAUACUGCCAGGCUUGGGACCGGGAGAGGUGAGAGGUACCUCAGGGGUAGGGGUGAAAUCUUGUGAUCCCUGAGGGACCACCAGUGGCGAAGGCGUCUCACUAGAACGGGUCCGACGGUGAGGGACGAAGGCCGGGGGAGCAAACCGG